Homo sapiens (human) is the source of this 566-nucleotide long non-coding RNA. NCBI's taxonomy places the organism in Eukaryota, Metazoa, Chordata, Mammalia, Primates, Hominidae. The record is from Ensembl.
AUUUCUUCGCUUCUAUGCUUGAAAUAACACACAUUAGGUACAGCUGUCACUGUCCACCAUGUAAGAGGUGCUUUUCACCUUCUGCCAUGAUUGUGAGGCCUCCCUAGCCACAUGGAACUGAGAAAACAUAGAAAUGUAAAUGCACUUUCUACAUGUGAACUGUGCUAAGGACCUUUGAAGCUGUGCUCCUUCUUCCCAAUAUGACAUCUGGGUUAAGGAGAAGCUUACUUUAUAUGGCAAAUUGACUAGUACAUAGUAGACCUCAAUGAAUAAUAAUUUGUUGAAAGUUUUCCUCUUCCAAGGCUCAGUUUCUUCAUCUGUGAAUUAAGGAUGUUGCUCAAGAAGGGACAGGAGUGAAGUGUCCAGGCUCAUCAACAGUCUGUGUGCAAAGUUACAGAAAAUUUCUUCUCACAGCCUUUGAGAGAGAAAAUUCUAUGGCCUUCAGACUUGGAUUAGAACUACACCACCGGCUCUCCAGGAUCUGCAGCUUGUAGAUGGCAGAUUGUGGACAUUCUCAGCCUUCAUAAUCAUGGCUCGUCCCAAGUGGAUCUUUCAGAAAGCCCUUC